GCGCUCGUAGCUCAGCUGGAUAGAGCAACGGCCUUCUAAGCCGUAGGUCACAGGUUCGAAUCCUGUCGGGCGUACCA
Molecule: transfer RNA, 77 nt
Filed under: Geobacteraceae bacterium GWC2_53_11
Lineage: Bacteria; Pseudomonadati; Thermodesulfobacteriota; Desulfuromonadia; Geobacterales; Geobacteraceae
Also listed under: 4 other names
Description: tRNA-Arg
Rfam family: tRNA
About the family: Transfer RNA (tRNA) molecules are approximately 80 nucleotides in length. Their secondary structure includes four short double-helical elements and three loops (D, anti-codon, and T loops). Further hydrogen bonds mediate the characteristic L-shaped molecular structure. tRNAs have two regions of fundamental functional importance: the anti-codon, which is responsible for specific mRNA codon recognition, and the 3' end, to which the tRNAs corresponding amino acid is attached (by aminoacyl-tRNA synthetases). tRNAs cope with the degeneracy of the genetic code in two manners: having more than one tRNA (with a specific anti-codon) for a particular amino acid; and 'wobble' base-pairing, i.e. permitting non-standard base-pairing at the 3rd anti-codon position.
Source: RNAcentral